GAUGAACGCUGGCGGCGUGCCUAAUACAUGCAAGUCGAGCGAACGGACGAGAAGCUUGCUUCUCUGAUGUUAGCGGCGGACGGGUGAGUAACACGUGGAUAACCUGCCUAUAAGACUGGGAUAACUUCGGGAAACCGGAGCUAAUACCGGAUGAUAUUUUGAACCGCAUGGUUCAAAAGUGAAAGACGGUCUUGCUGUCACUUAUAGAUGGAUCCGCGCUGCAUUAGCUAGUUGGUAAGGUAAUGGCUUACCAAGGCAACGAUGCAUAGCCGACCUGAGAGGGUGAUCGGCCACACUGGAACUGAGACACGGUCCAGACUCCUACGGGAGGCAGCAGUAGGGAAUCUUCCGCAAUGGGCGAAAGCCUGACGGAGCAACGCCGCGUGAGUGAUGAAGGUCUUCGGAUCGUAAAACUCUGUUAUUAGGGAAGAACAUAUGUGUAAGUAACUGUGCACAUCUUGACGGUACCUAAUCAGAAAGCCACGGCUAACUACGUG
This 497-nucleotide ribosomal RNA is filed under the name uncultured bacterium. RNAcentral's name for it is "partial 16S ribosomal RNA". It matches the Rfam family "Bacterial small subunit ribosomal RNA", at positions 28 to 507 of the family's 1533-position model. The record is from RNAcentral.